CUCACCAGGUCAGGACACGGUAAGGAUUGACGGACUGAAGGCUCUUUCUCGAUUCCGUGGAAAGUGGUGCAUGGCCGUUUUUGGUUGGUGGAUCGAUCCGUCUGGUUAAUUCCGUUAACGAACGAGACCUCGGCACUCCGAAUAGCGCGGCGGACGUCGCGGCCUCCGGGCCGUCUUCCGCACGAGCUUCUUAGAGGGACCGUCCCCCGCCGGGGAAGGAGGUGCGAGGCAACGACAGGUCUGUGAUGCCCUUAGAUGUUCUGGGCCGCACGCGCAUUACACUGACGCGUCCAACGGGUGACUCCCGACCCGAAGGGGCCGGGGAAUCCGCAAGGCGCGUCGUGAUGGGGAUUGAACGUUGCAAUUGUUGUUCACGAACGAGGAAUUCCUAGUAGGCGCGGGUCAUCAACCCGCGCCGAUUACGUCCCUGCCCUUUGUACACACCGCCCGU
Molecule: ribosomal RNA, 451 nt
Filed under: uncultured eukaryote
Lineage: Eukaryota
Description: bacterial SSU rRNA
Rfam family: Eukaryotic small subunit ribosomal RNA
Source: RNAcentral